Molecule: ribosomal RNA, 2152 nt
Filed under: Salmonella enterica subsp. enterica serovar Stanley
Lineage: Bacteria; Pseudomonadati; Pseudomonadota; Gammaproteobacteria; Enterobacterales; Enterobacteriaceae
Description: partial 23S ribosomal RNA
Rfam family: Bacterial large subunit ribosomal RNA
Source: RNAcentral
UGACUGCGUACCUUUUGUAUAAUGGGUCAGCGACUUAUAUUCUGUAGCAAGGUUAACCGAAUAGGGGAGCCGGAGGGAAACCGAGUCUUAAUUGGGCGUUAAGUUGCAGGGUAUAGACCCGAAACCCGGUGAUCUAGCCAUGGGCAGGUUGAAGGUUGGGUAACACUAACUGGAGGACCGAACCGACUAAUGUUGAAAAAUUAGCGGAUGACCUGUGGCUGGGGGUGAAAGGCCAAUCAAACCGGGAGAUAGCUGGUUCUCCCCGAAAGCUAUUUAGGUAGCGCCUCGUGAAUUCAUCUCCGGGGGUAGAGCACUGUUUCGGCUAGGGGGCCAUCCCGGCUUACCAACCCGAUGCAAACUGCGAAUACCGGAGAAUGUUAUCACGGGAGACACACGGCGGGUGCUAACGUCCGUCGUGAAGAGGGAAACAACCCAGACCGCCAGCUAAGGUCCCAAAGUCAUGGUUAAGUGGGAAACGAUGUGGGAAGGCCCAGACAGCCAGGAUGUUGGCUUAGAAGCAGCCAUCAUUUAAAGAAAGCGUAAUAGCUCACUGGUCGAGUCGGCCUGCGCGGAAGAUGUAACGGGGCUAAACCAUGCACCGAAGCUGCGGCAGCGACACUGUGUGUUGUUGGGUAGGGGAGCGUUCUGUAAGCCUGUGAAGGUGUGUCGUGAGGCAUGCUGGAGGUAUCAGAAGUGCGAAUGCUGACAUAAGUAACGAUAAAGCGGGUGAAAAGCCCGCUCGCCGGAAGACCAAGGGUUCCUGUCCAACGUUAAUCGGGGCAGGGUGAGUCGACCCCUAAGGCGAGGCCGAAAGGCGUAGUCGAUGGGAAACGGGUUAAUAUUCCCGUACUUGGUGUUACUGCGAAGGGGGGACGGAGAAGGCUAUGUUGGCCGGGCGACGGUUGUCCCGGUUUAAGCGUGUAGGUGUGUGUUCCAGGUAAAUCCGGUUCACUUUAACACUGAGGCGUGACGACGAGGCACUACGGUGCUGAAGCAACAAAUGCCCUGCUUCCAGGAAAAGCCUCUAAGCAUCAGGUAACAUCAAAUCGUACCCCAAACCGACACAGGUGGUCAGGUAGAGAAUACCAAGGCGCUUGAGAGAACUCGGGUGAAGGAACUAGGCAAAAUGGUGCCGUAACUUCGGGAGAAGGCACGCUGACACGUAGGUGAAGUGAUUUACUCAUGGAGCUGAAGUCAGUCGAAGAUACCAGCUGGCUGCAACUGUUUAUUAAAAACACAGCACUGUGCAAACACGAAAGUGGACGUAUACGGUGUGACGCCUGCCCGGUGCCGGAAGGUUAAUUGAUGGGGUCAGCGCAAGCGAAGCUCCUGAUCGAAGCCCCGGUAAACGGCGGCCGUAACUAUAACGGUCCUAAGGUAGCGAAAUUCCUUGUCGGGUAAGUUCCGACCUGCACGAAUGGCGUAAUGAUGGCCAGGCUGUCUCCACCCGAGACUCAGUGAAAUUGAACUCGCUGUGAAGAUGCAGUGUACCCGCGGCAAGACGGAAAGACCCCGUGAACCUUUACUAUAGCUUGACACUGAACAUUGAGCCUUGAUGUGUAGGAUAGGUGGGAGGCUUUGAAGCGUGGACGCCAGUCUGCGUGGAGCCGACCUUGAAAUACCACCCUUUAAUGUUUGAUGUUCUAACGUGGACCCGUGAUCCGGGUUGCGGACAGUGUCUGGUGGGUAGUUUGACUGGGGCGGUCUCCUCCUAAAGAGUAACGGAGGAGCACGAAGGUUGGCUAAUCCUGGUCGGACAUCAGGAGGUUAGUGCAAUGGCAUAAGCCAGCUUGACUGCGAGCGUGACGGCGCGAGCAGGUGCGAAAGCAGGUCAUAGUGAUCCGGUGGUUCUGAAUGGAAGGGCCAUCGCUCAACGGAUAAAAGGUACUCCGGGGAUAACAGGCUGAUACCGCCCAAGAGUUCAUAUCGACGGCGGUGUUUGGCACCUCGAUGUCGGCUCAUCACAUCCUGGGGCUGAAGUAGGUCCCAAGGGUAUGGCUGUUCGCCAUUUAAAGUGGUACGCGAGCUGGGUUUAGAACGUCGUGAGACAGUUCGGUCCCUAUCUGCCGUGGGCGCUGGAGAACUGAGGGGGGCUGCUCCUAGUACGAGAGGACCGGAGUGGACGCAUCACUGGUGUUCGGGUUGUCAUGCC